RNAcentral lists this ribosomal RNA (31 nucleotides) under Uwebraunia communis. RNAcentral describes it as "partial 18S ribosomal RNA". The record is from RNAcentral. Lineage: Eukaryota; Fungi; Ascomycota; Dothideomycetes; Mycosphaerellales; Dissoconiaceae.
UCUCCGUAGGUGAUCCUGCGGAGGGAUCAUU